This 65-nucleotide transfer RNA is filed under the name Hephaestia caeni. RNAcentral describes it as "Sphingomonas sp. ERB1-3 tRNA". It matches the Rfam family "tRNA". Rfam says of the family: Transfer RNA (tRNA) molecules are approximately 80 nucleotides in length. Their secondary structure includes four short double-helical elements and three loops (D, anti-codon, and T loops). The record is from Rfam by way of RNAcentral. Lineage: Bacteria; Pseudomonadati; Pseudomonadota; Alphaproteobacteria; Sphingomonadales; Sphingomonadaceae.
GCUGGAGUAGGCAUAGUAUAACUUUGCCAAGGUUGGGGUCGAGGGUUCGAAUCCCUUCGCCCGCU